Transfer RNA from Ovis aries (sheep), 82 nucleotides. It matches the Rfam family "tRNA". Rfam says of the family: Transfer RNA (tRNA) molecules are approximately 80 nucleotides in length. Their secondary structure includes four short double-helical elements and three loops (D, anti-codon, and T loops). The record is from Rfam. Lineage: Eukaryota; Metazoa; Chordata; Mammalia; Artiodactyla; Bovidae.
GCUGUGAUGGCUGGGUGGUCAAGGCAUUGGAUUCAAAAUCCAAUGGGGUCUGCCCGCUCAGGUUAGAAUCCUGCUCACGGCA